AAGUCGAGCGGGGAAAGGUAGCUUGCUACCUAACCUAGCGGCGGACGGGUGAGUAAUGCUUAGGAAUCUGCCUAUUAGUGGGGGACAACGUUUCGAAAGGAACGCUAAUACCGCAUACGCCCUACGGGGGAAAGCAGGGGCUCUUCGGACCUUGCGCUAAUAGAUGAGCCUAAGUCAGAUUAGCUAGUUGGUGGGGUAAAGGCCUACCAAGGCGACGAUCUGUAGCGGGUCUGAGAGGAUGAUCCGCCACACUGGGACUGAGACACGGCCCAGACUCCUACGGGAGGCAGCAGUGGGGAAUAUUGGACAAUGGGGGGAACCCUGAUCCAGCCAUGCCGCGUGUGUGAAGAAGGCCUUUUGGUUGUAAAGCACUUUAAGCGAGGAGGAGGCUCCUAUAGAUAAUACCUAUAGUGAGUGGACGUUACUCGCAGAAUAAGCACCGGCUAACUCUGUGCCAGCAGCCGCGGUAAUACAGAGGGUGCGAGCGUUAAUCGGAUUUACUGGGCGUAAAGCGUACGUAGGCGGCUUUUUAAGUCGGAUGUGAAAUCCCUGAGCUUAACUUAGGAAUUGCAUUCGAUACUGGGAAGCUAGAGUAUGGGAGAGGAUGGUAGAAUUCCAGGUGUAGCGGUGAAAUGCGUAGAGAUCUGGAGGAAUACCGAUGGCGAAGGCAGCCAUCUGGCCUAAUACUGACGCUGAGGUACGAAAGCAUGGGGAGCAAACAGGAUUAGAUACCCUGGUAGUCCAUGCCGUAAACGAUGUCUACUAGCCGUUGGGGCCUUUGAGGCUUUAGUGGCGCAGCUAACGCGAUAAGUAGACCGCCUGGGGAGUACGGUCGCAAGACUAAAACUCAAAUGAAUUGACGGGGGCCCGCACAAGCGGUGGAGCAUGUGGUUUAAUUCGAUGCAACGCGAAGAACCUUACCUGGUCUUGACAUAGUAAGAACUUUCCAGAGAUGGAUUGGUGCCUUCGGGAACUUACAUACAGGUGCUGCAAUGGCUGUUUGCAGCUCGUGUCGUGAGAUGUUGGGUUAAGUCCCGCAACGAGCGCAACCCUUUUCCUUAUUUGCCAGCGGGUUAAGCCGGGAACUUUAAGGAUACUGCCAGUGACAAACUGGAGGAAGGCGGGGACGACGUCAAGUCAUCAUGGCCCUUACGACCAGGGCUACACACGUGCUACAAUGGUCGGUACAAAGGGUUGCUACCUAGCGAUAGGAUGCUAAUCUCAAAAAGCCGAUCGUAGUCCGGAUUGGAGUCUGCAACUCGACUCCAUGAAGUCGGAAUCGCUAGUAAUCGCGGAUCAGAAUGCCGCGGUGAAUACGUUCCCGGGCCUUGUACACACCGCCCGUCACACCAUGGGAAUUUGUUGCACCAGAAGUAGGUAGUCUAACCGCAAGGAGGACG
This 1400-nucleotide ribosomal RNA is filed under the name bacterium 28W335. RNAcentral's name for it is "bacterial SSU rRNA". It matches the Rfam family "Bacterial small subunit ribosomal RNA". The record is from RNAcentral.